Molecule: ribosomal RNA, 403 nt
Filed under: uncultured bacterium
Lineage: Bacteria
Description: partial 16S ribosomal RNA
Rfam family: Bacterial small subunit ribosomal RNA
Source: RNAcentral
GACGAACGCUGGCGGCGUGCCUAAUACAUGCAAGUCGAACGCAGUGGGGACGGGUGAGUAACCCGUGGGUAACCUCCCAUCAGAGGGGAUAACACUUGGAAACAGGUGCUAAACCGAUACUGAUGGAUGAACCCGCGGUGCAUUAGCUAGUUGGUGAGGUAACGGCGCACAAAGGCCACGAUGCAUAGCCGGCCAGAGAGGAUGAUAGGACACACUGGGACGAAGACACGGCCCAGACUCCUACGGGAGGCAGCAGUAGGGAAUCUUCGGCAAUGGGCGAAAGUCUGACCGAGCAACGCCGCGGGAGUGAAGAAGGUUUUCGGAUCGUAAAACUCUGUAGUUAGAGAAGCGGUAUCUAACCAGAAAGCCACGGCUAACUACGUGCCAGCAGCCGCGGUAAUUC